Molecule: long non-coding RNA, 2589 nt
Filed under: Panax ginseng (ginseng)
Lineage: Eukaryota; Viridiplantae; Streptophyta; Magnoliopsida; Apiales; Araliaceae
Description: long non-coding RNA (PGIN_LNC000469)
Source: RNAcentral
CAAAAGAUGCAUAUUACUCCACAAAUUCAUAAUAUAAGAAAAAGCAUCGUAGUAAUGCAUGUAGAUAGAACAUUAAAUGCAAGAAUAUCGAACAAGAAAGAGUUACUGGAUAACAGAUCCAGCUAAAUCAGACUAUUUUUAAUCUUUAAAUGUUAGCAGAUGUCAAGCGGAGCAUAAGCACUGCCUACUUACUAUCACAUCGAACAGACAAUUGGCUCUGGCCCUAUGUUAAUGUUAAUUACACACAAAGACAGUUGUCUGGGGAGAAUGAACCAGCUCACAGUACCAUACAAUUUACACAAAAUAGCUAUGUUACAUGGACUCGGGUCGAGAAUUGGGUGUUGGUAUUGUCUAGGUGUCAGACUUGUCUAUUUCUAAAAUAUACUGGGAUAAGACAUAAAAUGAUCAAAAUUUUAGAUAGACAUGACAAGUAAUAUUGUUUAAAGUUAAUGUUCUACAAGAUUUUUUGAAAUAAUCUCAAAAUUUUGUUCUGGAAUAUUGAAUAUAAAAAGAUAAUUAGUGGGGUAUAUUUAAGUGAAGAUUUAAAAAAGACGCAUUUACUGAAAAAUUAUUAUGUUUAUGUUUCAAUUUAGAAAUACCAAAAAGUAUAUGGGUGCUUAGUGUUGGACCGACAAGUGAAGGAUCUGACUCGGAUCCCACACUUAAACCCAUGUCCACCCAUGUUGACACAUGUAAAGGAGCAAAAUAGACCAUGAUUAAAUGCAUCAGUAAAUUUCCAAGGAUUUGGAUUAAACAGACCAAGAUUGCCAGCAACCUCGCUCAACCAUCUUCACCUUUGGUUUCCAAACUCAAAGAAACUGAGUACAAAAAUGUGAGGCAUAUUAAUCAUGCGGCAUGAGAGUAAUUAGCUAGUAAUUAGAUGUAACCAGUAAACUGACUAGAAGGCACCAGAAGCCAAAAAUGUCAUUUCUGUAGUAAAGAGGUUUCAGAAAUUAGUAUAAAUUCAGCAAGAAUCAAGUAUCAUAGCUUGUUGAACCAAGCAUAUCCAUCUGUGUUUAGCAGAGUUAGUAACUGAGGCUGCAUCUACAAAAAAAAAAAAAAAAUCAUUCUUGCUCGCAAAUGUUUUUGCAUAUAUUGACAAAUGAACUUGAUGAAAAUUCAAGGUAAAACAUGAAGAUACCGUCGGAUUAUAAAACUAACUGUUCGGGAGCGUUUUACCGACCCUCCUUUGGGCCGAAGGCUUAAUAUCAGAAGGGCUGGAGAGAUCGGGGGGCCAAAGCCUAUGAAGAUAUUGGAGGUGCUUGGGUCGGCAUCUGAGCCCUCCUAGGCCGGAGCUGAACCCGGUCUUGUGAUGGUCGGGGUCGGGUCUUCGAGUUCUUUGGGCCGAAGCCCAGACUAGAUUAUAGGACCGUUUGGGCCUGCACAGUGGGCUCUCCUGCGUGCAGAGUCCGGGUACCUAUUCAUAUGCAUAUAAGGUAACUCCAAAGGUGGUGAUGAGAUUGGACUCUACUUGCACCUUUUAAGGAGAUUGUGUUGGACCCAAGUUAUGGUAACUACCAUACACUAGGAGUCCUAAUCCGACUAGGAGAAGGAUUCUAAGGUGGUGAGUACUAUAAAUAUAAGGCCUANNNNNNNNNNNNNNNNNNNNNNNNNNNNNNNNNNNNNNNNNNNNNNNNNNNNNNNNNNNNNNNNNNNNNNNNNNNNNNNNNNNNNNNNNNNNNNNNNNNNNNNNNCCAUACAAUUUACACAAAAUAGCUAUGUUACAUGGACUCGGGUCGAGAAUUGGGUGUUGGUAUUGUCUAGGUGUCAGACUUGUCUAUUUCUAAAAUAUACUGGGAUAAGACAUAAAAUGAUCAAAAUUUUAGAUAGACAUGACAAGUAAUAUUGUUUAAAGUUAAUGUUCUACAAGAUUUUUUGAAAUAAUCUCAAAAUUUUGUUCUGGAAUAUUGAAUAUAAAAAGAUAAUUAGUGGGGUAUAUUUAAGUGAAGAUUUAAAAAAGACGCAUUUACUGAAAAAUUAUUAUGUUUAUGUUUCAAUUUAGAAAUACCAAAAAGUAUAUGGGUGCUUAGUGUUGGACCGACAAGUGAAGGAUCUGACUCGGAUCCCACACUUAAACCCAUGUCCACCCAUGUUGACACAUGUAAAGGAGCAAAAUAGACCAUGAUUAAAUGCAUCAGUAAAUUUCCAAGGAUUUGGAUUAAACAGACCAAGAUUGCCAGCAACCUCGCUCAACCAUCUUCACCUUUGGUUUCCAAACUCAAAGAAACUGAGUACAAAAAUGUGAGGCAUAUUAAUCAUGCGGCAUGAGAGUAAUUAGCUAGUAAUUAGAUGUAACCAGUAAACUGACUAGAAGGCACCAGAAGCCAAAAAUGUCAUUUCUGUAGUAAAGAGGUUUCAGAAAUUAGUAUAAAUUCAGCAAGAAUCAAGUAUCAUAGCUUGUUGAACCAAGCAUAUCCAUCUGUGUUUAGCAGAGUUAGUAACUGAGGCUGCAUCUACAAAAAAAAAUAAAAAAUCAUUCUUACUCGCAAAUGUUUUUGCAUAUAUUGACAAAUGAACUUGAUGAAAAUUCAAGGUAAAACAUGAAGAUACCGUCGGAUUAUAAAACUAACUAACUGUGGUUAUAUAAAG